GUCACAUUGACCUCCAAAGAAUGACCACAUACCAAAAUUUCCUCUGGGUGUAAAUUCUCUGGAGCAUCAAUUUUUGUAAAAAUAAUUGCAGGAGCGGCAGUUACUCGAACUGUGAAAUCAGUUAAAAUUGGAGUUAAAAUGGCUCUCCUUUCCUGAUGCCGUCUUAUGCUACUGGCCAUGUUCCAUUCAAGUGCUGGAUUUUGAGAAUUCCUUUC
RNAcentral lists this long non-coding RNA (215 nucleotides) under Gallus gallus (chicken). The record is from RNAcentral. Lineage: Eukaryota; Metazoa; Chordata; Aves; Galliformes; Phasianidae.